UAUUGGGAGCUUGCUUCCAAGAGACCGGCGCACGGGUGCGUAACGCGUAUGCAAUCUGCCUUUCACAAAGGGAUAGCCCAGAGAAAUUUGGAUUAAUACCUUAUAGUAUAUUGAUGUGGCAUCACAUUAUUAUUAAAGAUUUAUCGGUGAAAGAUGAGCAUGCGUCCCAUUAGCUAGUUGGUAAGGUAACGGCUUACCAAGGCAACGAUGGGUAGGGGUCCUGAGAGGGAGAUCCCCCACACUGGUACUGAGACACGGACCAGACUCCUACGGGAGGCAGCAGUGAGGAAUAUUGGACAAUGGGCGCAAGCCUGAUCCAGCCAUGCCGCGUGCAGGAUGACGGUCCUAUGGAUUGUAAACUGCUUUUAUACGGGAAGAAACCCUGGAACGUGUUCCAGACUGACGGUACCGUAAGAAUAAGGAUCGGCUAACUCCGUGCCAGCAGCCGCGGUAAUACGGAGGAUCCAAGCGUUAUCCGGAAUCAUUGGGUUUAAAGGGUCCGUAGGCGGCCUUAUAAGUCAGUGGUGAAAUCUCCCGGCUCAACCGGGAAAUUGCCAUUGAUACUGUAGGGCUUGAAUUAUUGGGAAGUAACUAGAAUAUGUAGUGUAGCGGUGAAAUGCUUAGAUAUUACAUGGAAUACCAAUUGCGAAGGCAGGUUACUACCAAUGGAUUGACGCUGAUGGACGAAAGCGUGGGUAGCGAACAGGAUUAGAUACCCUGGUAGUCCACGCCGUAAACGAUGGAUACUAGCUGUUGGGAGCAAUCUCAGUGGCUAAGCGAAAGUGAUAAGUAUCCCACCUGGGGAGUACGAACGCAAGUUUGAAACUC
Molecule: ribosomal RNA, 828 nt
Filed under: uncultured Flavobacteriaceae bacterium
Lineage: Bacteria; Pseudomonadati; Bacteroidota; Flavobacteriia; Flavobacteriales; Flavobacteriaceae
Description: bacterial SSU rRNA
Rfam family: Bacterial small subunit ribosomal RNA
Source: RNAcentral